This is a long non-coding RNA of Perca flavescens (yellow perch), 2105 nucleotides long. RefSeq lists it as uncharacterized. Lineage: Eukaryota; Metazoa; Chordata; Actinopteri; Perciformes; Percidae. The record is from RefSeq and is a predicted model, not a curated record. The transcript has 3 exons.
CGUAUCUCUCACACGCCCAGCGGCAGUACGUGUGUUUGUUCUGAAGGGUGUUUCUCUGCUAAGGGCAAUGCUGUGUUUACAGUAAAGGAUCAGCUCUUUCAUCCUUGGGUUCAAAGCGCCGCCCUAGCCAACGGCAGUGGGCGAGCAGAUACGUACUACCAUUUGAUGAAGGGAGAGGAGAGGGAGGAGAGCAGAAGAUCAGAGGGGAACGGAGGGACACGACAGAGGGGAAGGACAGAUGAGGGAGGAAUAUGAGGGCCAAAUAUAUUUUCUCUUUUUAACAGCCUACAGUUCCUGCAACAGCAAAUCAAUAGUUAUAUACUGCUAUCAGUGGGAAAAUGAGCAGCUCUGUGCACAGCUGCUGACAUCUGUCUGACGAUGUAAUGGAGUGGACUGGAUUUCAGCUCUACAUCAACCUGAGACGUGAGAGCAUGUUGAGAUGAGACAAGGCUACUGAUUGGGACUACUGGGUUGUGUGUGUGUAUCUGUACCUCAUCAUUGUCCGACUCCUUUGUGAACAGGGGACAGAAUGCUGCGAUGAAGGGGGUGGGGUCUGUGGCAGGAGGUGUCACCUUCCAUCUUUCCAUAUACUGACCUUCUGAGGUGACGUGCUCAGCUUGGCUUGGCCCAGCUUGGUGUGUGUGUGUGUGUGUGUGAGUGUGUAUCGUUCUCACUUUGCAAGCCAAUGAAUCAUUUGCAGUGGCGGCUGCUAAGAUGCCUUUGAGGUACAGAGAGCAGCGAGAGAAGGUCAAUUCUCUCAUGAUUCUGUCAACUGUAGGUUUUCAAUCAAGACCCAAGGCCCAUCUAUCUAGCUCUCAAACUUCUGUUCUUACAGAAGAGACAAAACCAAAGGUGUGGAUGUAGGUUUGGGUAUCUUUUGGAUGUUUUCCGAUACCGAUGCUAAAAGGAUACUUUUAAAAAGGUGCCGGUGCCUAAACAGUGCCUCAACCAAUAAAAGAAUAAUAAGAAAAAGAGCACAAAAUGACAGUUGGCAACAUUAGAGAAUGGCUUGUUUAUUGCUUAGGCCAUAUGGUCAAAUUUUAUUUAAAAUUGAAUAACAAUAACUUAUUUCACCAGGUAUUUGCUGCACUUCAAUCCACCAUGAGCUUACGAGGUGCAAUUGAGCGCACCACAGACUCCUGUCUCUGUUGUUUCUUCGACAACUCCGACUCGGGCAGUGGCCAUGGUGUUUAAAAGUGCAGCUAGGCUACUCUGUGUCUUUAGCUGCAGACUCUUUUCAUAUAGACUCUUAGACCGUUUAGCUUUCAGUAUUUUAACCGUGUUAAGGCCAGCUACUAGCUAACAUUACUUGCUGCAGGGCGUAGCGUCUAGCGUCACAUGCAGUGAUGCUUUUGUUGCCUAUAAUGUCUGUUUCGGACCACCAGACGGCAGCGCAGACAUUGAAGUGGCAUCAAAGUGAGGCACCGAAAUUUGCGUUCGGUCGUCUAGAUACAGGUCGUUUAGUAACCGGUGCCAUAUUGGCAUCAGGUUUCGGUACCCAACUCUAUGUGGAUGCCAACAUUAAAACUUCCCUUAUUUCAUCUUCCUUUAAUGGUAUUGAUUGUUGGAUUGCCAGGUCCAAAAGUGAAAAUUUAAAGCUGAGUAAAUAGCUCCUAGAUCUAUCAACCUAUCUAUCGCUUUCCAUUGUGGUUUUGGUAUUUAUUUGUCUUUUAAUAUACUAUACACCUUUGUGUCUGUAAGCAGAUGCUUCCAUACAGGGCACAAAAAGUCACUGAAUGGUUUGAUGUGAAUCAUAUGCUUUCACAGUUACCAGAUCUCAAUCCAGACGAACACCUGAGAAUUUGGAGUAUUUAAAAGCUCUCCACCACCAUCAUUGAAGCACCAAAUGAAGGAAUAUCUUUUAGAAGAAUGCUGUUAAUUCCUCCUGUAAAGAUCAGAGACUUGGAGAAUGUAUGCCUAAUACUCUGUUUUGGAUGCUUGUGGUGGAACAAUCUUACUAAGACAUUAUGCUGUUUUCUUCUUUAAUUUGAUAUGCAUAUUGAUUGGUUUUGUACGUCACAGCGUUUGGAACACCAAAUACCACUGUUAUGUUGUAUCUUUUAGUAUUAAUAGUAGGAAACAGCCUAGAUGUUUAUUUGCAUAAA